Dermacentor andersoni is the source of this 540-nucleotide long non-coding RNA. RefSeq lists it as uncharacterized. The record is from RefSeq and is a predicted model, not a curated record. NCBI's taxonomy places the organism in Eukaryota, Metazoa, Arthropoda, Arachnida, Ixodida, Ixodidae.
AUUGCUCAAGCGGCCGAAGGCGCGUUUGUUCGGUACACGCGAGAGCGUCCCCCAAGAGCAAGUCUGUCGUCGCAUCAUUUUGUCGCGCCUACGCUGGCAAUUGUUUCGGCCGCCAUUCCACCAGUUCGUCUGCCAUGGAUCGCGGGUUUAGCCUCCAGCAGCAGCCGCUGCAACACGGAUAUGACGAACAGACUGUAGAAAGCUGGUUCUGAUGGUCCUCCAGUGUAUACAACAAACGAAAAGGCCAGGAGCAGCUGCGUUAGGUUACGCUUCUCAGCGGAUGAGAUGGCGCCGGCGCAUGCAUCGUCGGUGAGUGAAACGCCUGUCACAUUUGUCCAGAGGACCUAAAGCCAAUCACGGUGCAUUUCAAGUACGGACAUCCACGCCCUCCUUUGAAUGACAAACAGAAGCCGGACGCUUUUGUGGGGGAAAAUGCACGCAACUAACCUGAACGAGCUGGAAGAACUGGGACGCCUUGGCGAUGGGGUCGGUGACGGCGUUGCAUGCUGCGCCGAACAGCACCAGUUUCUUUGGCCGCUU